Molecule: ribosomal RNA, 497 nt
Filed under: uncultured bacterium
Lineage: Bacteria
Description: partial 16S ribosomal RNA
Rfam family: Bacterial small subunit ribosomal RNA
Source: RNAcentral
GACGAACGCUGGCGGCGUGCCUAAUACAUGCAAGUUGAGCGAUGAAGAUUGGUGCUUGCACCAAUUUGAAGAGCAGCGAACGGGUGAGUAACGCGUGGGGAAUCUGCCUUUGAGCGGGGGACAACAUUUGGAAACGAAUGCUAAUACCGCAUAAUAACUUUAAACAUAAGUUUUAAGUUUGAAAGAUGCAAUUGCAUCACUCAAAGAUGAUCCCGCGUUGUAUUAGCUAGUUGGUGAGGUAAAGGCUCACCAAGGCGAUGAUACAUAGCCGACCUGAGAGGGUGAUCGGCCACAUUGGGACUGAGACACGGCCCAAACUCCUACGGGAGGCAGCAGUAGGGAAUCUUCGGCAAUGGACGAAAGUCUGACCGAGCAACGCCGCGUGAGUGAAGAAGGUUUUCGGAUCGUAAAACUCUGUUGGUAGAGAAGAGCGUUGGUGAGAGUGGAAAGCUCAUCAAGUGACGGUAACUACCCAGAAAGGGACGGCUAACUACGUG